AUUGAACGCUGGCGGCAGGCCUAACACAUGCAAGUCGAGCGGAUGAAGGGAGCUUGCUCCUGGAUUCAGCGGCGGACGGGUGAGUAAUGCCUAGGAAUCUGCCUGGUAGUGGGGGAUAACGUCCGGAAACGGGCGCUAAUACCGCAUACGUCCUGAGGGAGAAAGUGGGGGAUCUUCGGACCUCAGGCUAUCAGAGGAGCCUAGGUCGGAUUAGCUAGUUGGUGGGGUAAAGGCCUACCAAGGCGACGAUCCGUAACUGGUCUGAGAGGAUGAGCAGUCACACUGGAACUGAGACACGGUCCAGACUCCUACGGGCGGCAGCAGUGGGGAAUAUUGGACAAUGGGCGAAAGCCUGAUCCAGCCAUGCCGCGUGUGUGAAGAAGGUCUUCGGAUUGUAAAGCACUUUAAGUUGGGAGGAAGGGCAGUAAGUUAAUACCUUGCUGUUUUGACGUUACCAACAGAAUAAGCACCGGCUAACUUCGUG
This 484-nucleotide ribosomal RNA is filed under the name uncultured bacterium. Its description in RNAcentral is "partial 16S ribosomal RNA". It matches the Rfam family "Bacterial small subunit ribosomal RNA", at positions 30 to 507 of the family's 1533-position model. The record is from RNAcentral.